Molecule: ribosomal RNA, 495 nt
Filed under: uncultured bacterium
Lineage: Bacteria
Description: partial 16S ribosomal RNA
Rfam family: Bacterial small subunit ribosomal RNA
Source: RNAcentral
GACGAACGCUGGCGGCGUGCCUAAUACAUGCAAGUCGAACGCUGUAGGAGGAGCUUGCUCUUCUGGAUGAGUUGCGAACGGGUGAGUAACGCGUAGGUAACCUGCCUGGUAGCGGGGGAUAACUAUUGGAAACGAUAGCUAAUACCGCAUAAGAGUAGAUGUUGCAUGACAUUUACUUAAAAGGUGCAAUUGCAUCACUACCAGAUGGACCUGCGUUGUAUUAGCUAGUUGGUGGGGUAACGGCUUACCAAGGCGACGAUACAUAGCCGACCUGAGAGGGUGAUCGGCCACACUGGGACUGAGACACGGCCCAGACUCCUACGGGAGGCAGCAGUAGGGAAUCUUCGGCAAUGGACGGAAGUCUGACCGAGCAACGCCGCGUGAGUGAAGAAGGUUUUCGGAUCGUAAAGCUCUGUUGUAAGAGAAGAACGAGUGUGAGAGUGGAAAGUUCACACUGUGACGGUAUCUUACCAGAAAGGGACGGCUAACUACGUG